ACAUAUAAAAGUGUUUCCAUAAUUUCCGUGAUGGUUUUCUUUUUCUUUAAAAGGAGGGAAGCCACCCCUCCCUCCUUCUAUCUACAUGGUGAAAGCUGACUCUGUACUUACUACCAAUUGUAGACUAAGAGCAAGUCCAGCAGCUCCCAAUAACCUCCCCGAUAACGUUUUUAGGGGAGAAAACGCAAAAACGUGUCUCCAGCAGUUCCCCUAUCGAGCCCCCGAAAAAUCGGCGUCCCCGAUCCGUCAGUUCUUCUCCCCUACAGAUCGGGGAGGCGGAGGCCUCCCCUAUCCACGCCCGGGACAAUCCCUCCCGCCAAAACGAGCCUGGCACCCUCCUUCUCCUUUCUCCCGCCAUGAGCCGGCCGGAGCCAGACGCGAGGGGCGGCAACCAGAGGCGGGCGCGGCGGCUAGCACGCGAAGGGGGGCGGCAGCGGCCAGAUGCGGGAGGCGGCGGCCAGCACGCAAGGGGUGGCGCCGGCCAGAUGCGGCGGCCAGCAGAGGGCGGGGGCGGCCAGCCGGCCAUCAGGGGGCCCGGCGGCCAGAUGCGGCGGCCAACAAGGUGGUCUGCUCGGUGGGGAAGAGGGAGAGGAAGAGGCGCAGGCCGCGGGCGGGGUGUUCUGUGGAGAAGAAAGGAGAGGAAAGCAGAGAGGGAGAGGAGAAAGAGAUAAGAAAUAGGUGGAGAGGGAGAAAGAGAUGAGAAAUAGAAGAAGGGAAGAAAUAGAUGAAAUUGUUGCAAUUUUGCUAGAUGUGCAUUACGAGAGUAACAUUGCAUUAUGUAGAAAAUGAUACAGUCACCGUUUACACCCCACCGUGAUUUAAAAACAUAUUAGAAAUCUCAUACACUACAUUAUUGCUACCACUUAUUAAAACUACAUCAUUCCACGGAUCUGCCACAAGUGCUCAACUAGAUCAACUUGACGCUGACAAUGAACUUCUUUGUUUCGAAUAGCGUUGUGAGCUUGAAGAAACUGAGUCAACGUAGCUGCCUCUUCACGAGAAGGAUGAUACAAGCUGUCAUGAUUUCUCCGAGUGUUUCCAAAUCCCAAUACCUUGCUAGUCCACGUACAAUGGCAAAACGAGCUUGCAGAACUCCAAAGGCUCGUUCAACAUCCUCCCGACAAGCUUCUUGGCAUCGUGCAAAAUGUUUAUUUUUUUCAGUUGUCGGAUUUGGAAUUGUCUUCACGAAUGUGGCCCAUCGCGGAUAUAUGCCAUCUGCAAGGUAAUACCCCAUGUUGUAGUUGUGACCAUUGAUGGUAUAAUUCACUUCUGGAGCAUGCCCUU
This is a long non-coding RNA of Brachypodium distachyon (stiff brome), 1284 nucleotides long. RefSeq lists it as uncharacterized. The transcript is spliced from 2 exons. The record is from RefSeq and is a predicted model, not a curated record. NCBI's taxonomy places the organism in Eukaryota, Viridiplantae, Streptophyta, Magnoliopsida, Poales, Poaceae.